ACGGGUGAGUAACACGUGAGUAACCUGCCCCUGACUCUGGGAUAAGCGUUGGAAACGACGUCUAAUACUGGAUACGACUGCCGGCCGCAUGGUCUGGUGGUGGAAAGAUUUUUUGGUUGGGGAUGGACUCGCGGCCUAUCAGCUUGUUGGUGAGGUAAUGGCUCACCAAGGCGACGACGGGUAGCCGGCCUGAGAGGGUGACCGGCCACACUGGGACUGAGACACGGCCCAGACUCCUACGGGAGGCAGCAGUGGGGAAUAUUGCACAAUGGGCGAAAGCCUGAUGCAGCAACGCCGCGUGAGGGAUGACGGCCUUCGGGUUGUAAACCUCUUUUAGUAGGGAAGAAGCGAAAGUGACGGUACCUGCAGAAAAAGCACCGGCUAACUACGUGCCAGCCG
This 399-nucleotide ribosomal RNA is filed under the name Curtobacterium sp. RNAcentral's name for it is "bacterial SSU rRNA". It matches the Rfam family "Bacterial small subunit ribosomal RNA", at positions 102 to 514 of the family's 1533-position model. Lineage: Bacteria; Bacillati; Actinomycetota; Actinomycetes; Micrococcales; Microbacteriaceae. The record is from RNAcentral.